AAUGAACGCUGGCGGCGUGCUUAAUACAUGCAAGUCGAACGAGAAAGAGACCUUCGGGUUUUGAGUAGAGUGGCGCACGGGUGAGUAACGCGUAAGUAAUCUGCCUUUAAGUUUGGGAUAACAUUUCGAAAGGAGUGCUAAUACCGGAUAAGACCACGGUUGGGUAAUCAAUUGUGGUAAAAGAUAGCCGUAAGGCUUUCACUUAGAGAUGAGCUUGCGUACCAUUAGUUGUUGGUGGGGUAAAGGCCUACCAAGGCGAUGAUGGUUAGCUGGUCUGAGAGGACGAUCAGUCACACUGGAACUGAGACACGGUCCAGACUCCUACGGGAGGCAGCAGUAGGGAAUUUGCGCAAUGGGGGCAACCCUGACGCAGCGACGCCGCGUGAGUGAAGAAGGCCUUCGGGUUGUAAAGCUCUGUCAGAAGGGACGAAUAAGCGGAGUCUAAUAGGCUUUCGUGAUGACGGUACCUUCAGAGGAAGCACCGGCUAACUCUGUG
RNAcentral lists this ribosomal RNA (496 nucleotides) under uncultured bacterium. Its description in RNAcentral is "bacterial SSU rRNA". It matches the Rfam family "Bacterial small subunit ribosomal RNA", at positions 29 to 507 of the family's 1533-position model. The record is from RNAcentral.